Molecule: ribosomal RNA, 377 nt
Filed under: uncultured eukaryote
Lineage: Eukaryota
Description: partial 18S ribosomal RNA
Rfam family: Eukaryotic small subunit ribosomal RNA
Source: RNAcentral
CAAUAGCGUAUAUUUAAGUUGCUGCAGUUAAAAAGCUCGUAGUUGGAUUUCGGGUGGGAAUGGCCGGUCCGCCGUUUCGGUGUGCACUUGCUACGCCCACCUUGCUGCCGGGGACGUGCUCUUGAGUUCACGCUCGGGACACGGAGUCGGCGAGGUUACUUUGAGCAAAUUAGAGUGUUCAAAGCAGGCCUACGCUCUGAAUACAUUAGCAUGGAAUAACACGAUAGGACUCUGGCCUAUCUUGUUGGUCUGUAGGACCGGAGUAAUGAUUAAGAGGGACAGUCGGGGGCAUUCGUAUUUCAUUGUCAGAGGUGAAAUUCUUGGAUUUAUGAAAGACGAACUACUGCGAAAGCAUUUAUCAAGGAUGUUUUCAUUAA